ACGAGCGUUAUUCGGAAUUACUGGGCUUAAAGGGUGCGUAGGCGGCGCGGUAAGUAGGGUGUGAAAUCCCUCGGCUCAACCGAGGAACUGCGCUCUAAACUACCGUGCUUGAGGGAGGUAGAGGUGAGCGGAACUUAGGGUGGAGCGGUGAAAUGCGUUGAUAUCAGCAGGAACACCGGAGGCGAAGGCGGCUCACUGGGGGUCUUCUGACGCUGAGGAACGAAAGCCAGGGGAGCGAACGGG
This 243-nucleotide ribosomal RNA is filed under the name uncultured bacterium. RNAcentral's name for it is "partial 16S ribosomal RNA". It matches the Rfam family "Bacterial small subunit ribosomal RNA", at positions 534 to 776 of the family's 1533-position model. The record is from RNAcentral.